RNAcentral lists this ribosomal RNA (505 nucleotides) under uncultured Acinetobacter sp. RNAcentral's name for it is "partial 16S ribosomal RNA". Lineage: Bacteria; Pseudomonadati; Pseudomonadota; Gammaproteobacteria; Moraxellales; Moraxellaceae. The record is from RNAcentral.
CACAGAGUUAGCCGGUGCUUAUUCUGCGAGUAACGUCCACUCACUAUAGGUAUUAUCUAUAGGAGCCUCCUCCUCGCUUAAAGUGCUUUACAACCAAAAGGCCUUCUUCACACACGCGGCAUGGCUGGAUCAGGGUUCCCCCCAUUGUCCAAUAUUCCCCACUGCUGCCUCCCGUAGGAGUCUGGGCCGUGUCUCAGUCCCAGUGUGGCGGAUCAUCCUCUCAGACCCGCUACAGAUCGUCGCCUUGGUAGGCCUUUACCCCACCAACUAGCUAAUCCGACUUAGGCUCAUCUAUUAGCGCAAGGUCCGAAGAUCCCCUGCUUUCCCCCGUAGGGCGUAUGCGGUAUUAGCGUCCCUUUCGAAACGUUGUCCCCCACUAUUAGGUAGAUUCCUAAGUAUUACUCACCCGUCCGCCGCUAAGUAAGUAGCAAGCUACUUUUCCCCGCUCGACUUGCAUGUGUUAAGCCUGCCGCCAGCGUUCAAUCUGAGCCCAGGAUCAAACUCU